CGGGGUGCAGCAGGCGCGAAAACUUUGCAAUGCGGGAAACCGUGACAAGGGAACCCCGAGUGCCCGUAAAUUCGGGCUGUUCCGGUGUACAAAAAGCACCGGGAGAAAGGGCCGGGCAAGACCGGUGCCAGCCGCCGCGGUAAUACCGGCGGCUCGAGUGGUGGCCACUAUUACUGGGCUUAAAGCGUUCGUAGCUGGAUUGUUAAGUCUCUUGGGAAAUCUACCGGCUUAACCGAUAGGCGUUCAAGAGAUACUGGCAAUCUAGGGACCGGUAGAGGUGAGAGGUACUCCAGGGGUAGGAGUGAAAUCCUGUAAUCCUUGGGGGGCCACCUGUGGCGAAGGCGUCUCACCAGAACGGCUCCGACUGUGAGGGACGAAAGCUGGGGGAGCAAACCGGAUUAGAUACCCGGGUAGUCCCAGCUGUAAACGAUGCGCGUUAGGUGUAUCGGUGACCACGAGUCACCGAGGUGCCGAAGAGAAAUCGUGAAACGCGCCGCCUGGGAAGUACGGUCGCAAGGCUGAAACUUAAAGGAAUUGGCGGGGGAGCAC
Molecule: ribosomal RNA, 549 nt
Filed under: uncultured archaeon
Lineage: Archaea
Description: bacterial SSU rRNA
Rfam family: Archaeal small subunit ribosomal RNA
Source: RNAcentral